GAGUUUGAUCGUGGCUCAGAUUGAACGCUGGCGGCAGGCCUAACACAUGCAAGUCGAGCGGUAGAGAGAAGCUUGCUUCUCUUGAGAGCGGCGGACGGGUGAGUAAUGCCUAGGAAUCUGCCUGGUAGUGGGGGAUAACGCUCGGAAACGGACGCUAAUACCGCAUACGUCCUACGGGAGAAAGCAGGGGACCUUCGGGCCUUGCGCUAUCAGAUGAGCCUAGGUCGGAUUAGCUAGUUGGUGAGGUAAUGGCUCACCAAGGCGACGAUCCGUAACUGGUCUGAGAGGAUGAUCAGUCACACUGGAACUGAGACACGGUCCAGACUCCUACGGGAGGCAGCAGUGGGGAAUAUUGGACAAUGGGCGAAAGCCUGAUCCAGCCAUGCCGCGUGUGUGAAGAAGGUCUUCGGAUUGUAAAGCACUUUAAGUUGGGAGGAAGGGCAGUAAAUUAAUACUUUGCUGUUUUGACGUUACCGACAGAAUAAGCACCGGCUAACUCUGUGCCAGCA
RNAcentral lists this ribosomal RNA (509 nucleotides) under uncultured bacterium. RNAcentral describes it as "bacterial SSU rRNA". It matches the Rfam family "Bacterial small subunit ribosomal RNA", at positions 9 to 513 of the family's 1533-position model. The record is from RNAcentral.